UGCACGGCAGACUCACCGGAAACUUGUGGCUUGUGGUUUCCGUUUCUGCUUUUCUGCUCAGUUCCAGGUUUUUUCCUCUGAGCUCUCUGAGUCCUCUGCCUCAAAAACUGCAUCUUGAUCUUUUUCAUCAGACAACUCAAUAUCUGAGUUUUCAUGAACAAUUCGCAGUAACAUUCUCUCUACCUCUGACAGUGAAUACCUUCCUUCGUAAUUGAAAAUACAGAGAAAAAAAGAUUCUUCCAGUGAUCCCUACAGUACUGACUAGAUUCUCCUCAGCCAUGCCAUCCUAUAGCAUGUGUCCCUGGGUCCUGCUGUUAUCUGUGCUGAAGGUCAUAACCGGUAAGUUGACAGAAUGGCUUCUUUGUUUUCUAAAUGUUUCAGCUUGGUCCUAUUCUGUUGUAUUAUAAUCCAGUUUUAUAACUGUAUAUCUUUUGUGCUCAGCAUAGAAAACGGAGAACAUACCUGAGCAUAGA
Molecule: non-coding RNA, 473 nt
Organism: Electrophorus electricus (electric eel)
Lineage: Eukaryota; Metazoa; Chordata; Actinopteri; Gymnotiformes; Gymnotidae
Source: RefSeq, a predicted model, not a curated record